RNAcentral lists this ribosomal RNA (279 nucleotides) under uncultured bacterium. RNAcentral describes it as "partial 16S ribosomal RNA". It matches the Rfam family "Bacterial small subunit ribosomal RNA", at positions 506 to 784 of the family's 1533-position model. The record is from RNAcentral.
UGCCAGCCGCCGCGGUAAUACAGAGGGAGCAAGCGUUGUUCGGAAUUACUGGGCGUAAAGGGCGCGUAGGCGGUCCAUCAAGUCUUGUGUGAAAUCCCCUGGCUCAACUAGGGAACUGCACAGGAAACUGGUGGACUUGAGUUCGGGAGAGGGAAGCGGAAUUCCGGGUGUAGCGGUGAAAUGCAUAGAUAUCCGGAGGAACACCGGUGGCGAAGGCGGCUUCCUGGACCGACACUGACGCUGAGGCACGAAAGCGUGGGUAGCAAACAGGAUUAGAUA